UACGGAAGGUAGCAGUGGGGAAUAUUGCACAAUGGGCGCAAGCCUGAUGCAGCCAUGCCGCGUGUAUGAAGAAGGCCUUCGGGUUGUAAAGUACUUUCAGUCGUGAGGAAGGUGUUAAGGUUAAUAACCUUAGCAAUUGACGUUAGCGACAGAAGAAGCACCGGCUAACUCCGUGCCAGCAGCCGCGGUAAUACGGAGGGUGCGAGCGUUAAUCGGAAUUACUGGGCUAAAGGGCACGCAGGCGGUUAAUUAAGUUGGAUGUGAAUCCCCGGGCUUAACCUGGGAAUGGCAUUCAAGACUGGUUAGCUAGAGUCUUGUAGAGGGGGUAGAAUUCCAUGUGUAGCGGUGAAAUGCGUAGAGAUGUGGAGGAAUACCGGUGGCGAAGGCGGCCCCUGGACAAAGACUGACGCUCAUGUGCGAAAGCGUGGGGAGCAAACAGGGAUUAGAUACCCGU
This 454-nucleotide ribosomal RNA is filed under the name uncultured bacterium. RNAcentral describes it as "bacterial SSU rRNA". It matches the Rfam family "Bacterial small subunit ribosomal RNA", at positions 340 to 789 of the family's 1533-position model. The record is from RNAcentral.